UUCGUAUCGAGAUACCAGCCAGCUACACCAGGCCCAUUAGGAGAUGGUGCGAGCUAUGGCAGAUUGAGCUGGGCAUCAUAUGCCGCAGUUAUGCCCCCGUGAUACUCUUCGAUUGGCAUCACGUUCUACUGACUCAGAGAGACAUUUUCUAUACGCACUUAUCGAUAAAAUAAAUUAUAUUAUGAAUAUUUAAUUUACAUAGUAUUCUUUUAAUAUUUGUUAUUGGCAGGGUGUAUUCGAUAUCAUUGAUUUUGAGGAGGAU
Molecule: long non-coding RNA, 262 nt
Filed under: Elaeis guineensis (African oil palm)
Lineage: Eukaryota; Viridiplantae; Streptophyta; Magnoliopsida; Arecales; Arecaceae
Description: long non-coding RNA (EGUI_LNC067040)
Source: RNAcentral